RNAcentral lists this long non-coding RNA (1636 nucleotides) under Sparus aurata (gilthead seabream). RNAcentral describes it as "lncRNA (ENSSAUG00010001168.1)". The record is from RNAcentral. Lineage: Eukaryota; Metazoa; Chordata; Actinopteri; Spariformes; Sparidae.
CUCCUGACCCAGUCAGUGGUGUAUACAUACAGUCGGCGUCGCGUCACAGUCGCGUCACAGUUGGGGGCGGGGCAUUUCGAGGGGGAAAACAAUCCUUUCCCCCUCACCCGGAGCACUGUAAGAGCGCGGAUUUCAAAUCUUUAUAAACGAACAUGUCAUACAUUGAAUCACUGCAGCCCAUUGACAGGGAUAGAUACCUUAAAAAGAUCACUUUAAUAGGAUCGGAUUCUUGUCCGUAUUUUAUUAAAGAGUGGACGAAUGAUCCGACUGAAUGGCCUGAAGUUUCAUUCCCUGAUAUCUUCUGCUACCUGGUUGAAUCACCCGGUAAGAGGCAAAAUCACGUUAACUGAUGAAUUAAACCUAACAUAAUUUCUAUGUCUGACAUGGAAAUUAUCACGUUUGAAUUUGUUCACCACACAAUGGUUGUUAUUACACAAUAGCCAUCAUGAGCUGCAUACAGUUACGGUUAAUACGGUUACGACUCGGUUUAUCACGCAGGGAUUUACACACACAACAGCCUUAAGAACUACCGGUCCUUGGAGGCACACAACUUUUUUUCAAGUGGCUUUGUUGGAGUUGUGCUUCAUCAUAAGCUACCUUCCUCGGAUACCUACCUGUUCCGAAGUGAUGUUAAGCCAUCCUGGAGGGUGACAGAGAAGCCGCACCAGACGUGGGUCGCAGUAAAGGGAGAGGGUACUGUCAUCGCUGCCCACUGCAACUGCAUGGCAGGUCUUGGUGAAAGUUGUUCCCAUGUGGCUGCUGUUCUUUUUAAAUUAGAGGCGUGUGUCCGCAUGGGGAUCAACAAAGUGCCAUGCACAAGCAAAGCCUGUGAGUGGAACAAGACCUGUGUUAAAAAGAUUGAGCCUGCCCUUGUUGCAGAGACAUCUUUUUACACAGAGGACGAGGCGUCAAAAAAAAGGAAAAGGAAAGCCCCUAUCCCAAAAGCCUCUUUAUCACAGCAGAAGCAGUUCCUCACUAUGCUGGCUGACAGAUCACCUGACACUGUGGUAUUAAAUAGUUUCAAGGAUUUUUCCAGGCCUUUUAAGAAGCCAUGGUGUUUCAGCCAGCAUGAGGUGACUGAGGAGGAGAUUGAAAAUGUGGAGAGAGCAACCAUCCAUCAGGCAUCCUGUGUGCAAUGGCAUCAAGAGCGGGUUGGUCGCAUUACAGGCUCCAUAGCCCACCGUGUCUUAACAGCUACAGAACAUCCUAGCAAGUCACUGAUCAACACCAUAUGUGAACAAAGGCACAGGCCAAUAAUGAAGCCCUGGAUUCAGUGGGGGAGACACCAUGAGCAAGAUGCCAUUGACACGUACCAAUAUACUCUUGGAGCUGGGAGUCCCACAGCCAACCUGUCCUCCACCAUUUACAUCUGUGCCCCAGUAGAUGCACCACAUCAGAACCUGGUCAUCAGAAAGGCUGGCUUCCGCAUCUGCCAAACUAUGCCAUACCUGGGGGUUUCAUGCGACGGCUAUGUUUCCUGUGACUGCUGUGGUGAGGGUGUUAUAGAGGCUAAGUGUCCUUACAGGUGGGGGCAAGACACCUCUACUGGGUACCAACAGUGGCUUGAGGACAAAAGAGGACAUCUGGAAAGCCUGACAAGCUUAAAGAGGAGCCACGCAUAUUUCACUCAGGUAUU